AACAAAAAGCCCUCAAUGCAGCCAGUUCUGGAGAUUUGGUUAGACUAUGAACAGUAGACAUCAAAAGAUGAUCAUCUAAAGGGCCACAAUUGUUUAAAGCACUGGUCAACAAAAACUGAACUAUUGGAUGGAUCAUACAUGUGCAGAAUGUACUACCAUAUUUCCAGAAUCAGAGAAAUAGAAAUAUCAAGUAUUAGAGAGAAAGAAAUGUAUGCAUCAUGUAUGAAGAACUGCCUAAGAAUAAUUUGCAAAAUACAUUGAAAUCUAACAAUUGCUAAUUGCAUAAUGCAUAUGGAAGUUAAGAAAGGUGUACUCUUCUGGAAAAUAUGUGUCCAAUGCAACAUUUCUUUUUCAAUUUUGUGAGCAUAAUUCUACAUAAAAAUUUUAACAUGGCUACAGGGAUAAUACAAAAGUUUUAAUCUUAUUUCCAAACACAUUGGGGGAAUCAGAGAAGAAAUAUCAAGAAUUAGGGAAAAAGAAAUAAUUGUCAUGAAUGAAAAACUUGCUUUUUAUUAAUUUACAAAAUACUUUUUAGCCUCACAACAGUUACUGUUAAUAAUAUUAUGAAUAUGGAAGUUAAAAGUGUGGAUUUUGAUUAAUCUUCAACUUCUCUGAGCAUAGUUCUACAUAUAAAUUGUAACUUUAUAAAAUAGUCUUGUAGAAAAAGUGUAAGACUUUCAUACUUGUUUGAUAGAAAAUGUUUCUGGAUGUUUCAAUGUAAGUUUGCUAGACCCAGACCACUAGCUCCUAAGUCAAGGUUACACGUAGAUGUCAAAGGUUAAAAGGGUCUGUUUCUGUCUGGUCAAUAACUGCCAUACAUAAAGGGAUUUUGGAAUUACUCGUCAUAAAUGUUCACCAUAAAUAGACAACGUGUUAUGCGCAAAACCCAAACCCUUGCUCCAAGGUCAAGGUCACACGUAGAGGUCAAAGGUUAAUAGAGUCUUUUUUGUGUCUGGUCAAUAACUCUGCGAUUCAUGAAGGGACUUUUAGAUAACUUGGCAUAAAUGUUCACCAUAAUGAAACAAGGUGUCAUGCCCAAGACCAAGACCCCUAGCUCGAAGGUCGCACUUAGAGGCCAAUGGUCAGAUACAAAAAUGACGUUGUCCCGAGCAUUUCUUGUUCAUGCAUGGAGGAAUUUUGAUGUACAAUGGCAAAAAUGUUCAUCAUCAUGAGAUGGUGUGUCAUGAGUAAGAACCAGGCCACUAAUCCUUUGCUGUUACUGUAAAGUUCUAUUCUAUUAACCCUUAUGCUGAACAUGAUUUAUUCUGUCUUUGCGACCAGUGUAGAUCACGAUCAGCCUGCACAUCCAUGCAGGCUGAUGAUGAUCAGCACUGUUCGCCAUUCAAUCAGUAUAUUUUUGGUAAGCAUCCCUUUUAACAGUUAAUGGUACUGUCCAAAUUGAAAAAUGGACAAGUUCAUUAUAGAAAUUCAGCAGGGUAAGGGUUAAUAUUAGCCCUAGGAGAAAAUUGGGACUACUUUUCUGUAGUACAACACGCAUGUUACAUCCAGUUUUUGAUGUAUUUUGACCUAAGGCUACUGAUAAGUACUUUUGUGUGGACUUAGAUUUUUUUCAGAUUAACUUCUCUUUGUUGUCACUAUAACAAACGAUUAUUCUUGAAACUUUUUAUCCUGGUUGUUAGAAUUGGAUAUGUCAUUGUUUUGGCUUUCUGUCUAUCAAACUUAUAGUUUUGUACAGAAAAUGUUUUAUUAUAUCAUCUACCUGACGAGCAUAUAUUUAACAUCCUGGUACUCUUGUUUUAUUUUGUUCAUGCCAAGAUGCUGUAUUGGCAUACAGUAUGUAUGAUGAAAAUGUCCUUAGGCAGGGGACGUUGCUAACUCUGUUACAAAUUCUUGUUGUUGUUUUUUCUGGAGUUGUUGCCCUAUUUGAUCUUGAACUAAUUCAUCACAUCGUGAACUCGUGAACUUAAGUCGAACAGAUCCAUCCAACUGAAUUGAAACUAGGUAUACAUCAGAAGCAUGAAAUGAAUAUGUACAUGUUGCCCUGACUUUUAUGAUCUAUUAUUAUGUCUCCCCUAGGAGACAUAUUGUUUUUGCCCUGUCCGUCCGUCCUUCCGUCCGUCCGUCCGUACGUCACACUUCAUUUCCGAGCAAUAACUGGAGAACCAUUUGACCUAGAACCUUCAAACUUCAUAGGGUUGUAGGGCUACUGGAGUAGACGACCCCUAUUGUUUUUGGGGUCACUCCGUCAAAGGUCAAGGUCACAGGGGCCUGAACAUUGAAAACCAUUUCCGAUCAAUAACUAGAGAACCACUUGACCCAGAAUGUUGAAACUUCAUAGGAUGAUUGGUCAUGAACAGUAGAUGACCCCUAUUGAUCUUGGAGUCACUCCAUCAAAGGUCAAGGUCACAGGGGCCUGAACAUUGAAAACCAUUUCCGAUCAAUAACCAGAGAACCACUUGACCCAGAAUGUUGAAACUUCAUAGGAUGAUUGGUCAUGAACAGUAAAUGUCCCCUAUUGAUUUUGGGGUCACUCCGUCAAAGGUCAAGGUCACAGGGGCCUGAACAUUGAAAACCAUUUCCGGUCAGUAACUUGAGAACCACUUUACCCAGAAUGUUGAAACUUAAUAGGAUGAUUGGUCAUGCAGAGUAGAUGACCCCUAUUGAUUUUAGGGUCACUCUGUUAAAGGUCAAGGCCACAGGGGCCUGAACAUGGAAAACCAUUUCCAAUCAAUAACUUGAGAACCUCUCGACCCAGAAUGUUGAAACUUCAUAGGAUGAUUGUUCAUGCAGAGUAAAUGACCCCCAUUGUUUUUGGGGUCAGUCUAUUAAAGGUCAAGGUCACAGUGGCCUGUUCAUGUAAAAUCAUUUUUGGGAAAUAACUUGAGAACCACUUGACCUACAAUGUUGAAACUUAAUAGGAUGAUUGGACAUGCAGAGUAGAUGACCCCUAUUUAUUUUGAGGUCAUCUGAUCAAAGGUCAAGGUCACAGGAGCCUGAACAGUGACUUGAGAACCACUAGGCCAAGAGUGUUGAAAUUUAGCGGGAUGACUGGACAUGCCAAGUAGAUGAUCCCUACUGCAGCCAACCAUCACUGUCUCUUUGACUUUCGCUCCUGACCCCUAUUGACUUCUUGCCUAUAGGACUUUGCAUUGGGGGAGACAUGCGCUUUUUUACAAAAGCAUUUUCUAGUUUUGUCUGGAGUUGUGGCCCUUCUUUAACGACGAAUGACAACUACAUUGUAGUUUCCUUCUCUUCAUUUCAAAUAAAACUUGUUAAACAUCAUAAAUAUUAUGUAGACAUGCGCAUUUGUUUCUUGUUCAGUUGUUUAACUUCUAUAUAUUUUCCUUAAUAACAUUAUUGACCCGUCGUUAUUAUAAAUUAUUGAAUGAAACAUUUUUUACCUCCGUGAAGGAAUAUUGUCAAACUAUACCGAUAAGGGGAAGAGUUUGCUUCCUUUUGUAGCACAACUGUCUAUGCAUUAUUGUGUCUUGCUCAUAUAUAACACUUUUAUUUGUGUGAACAUGCAUGAAUUUGUUAUACUGCAAAUUAAAACAGUCAUCAUUGA
Long non-coding RNA from Mercenaria mercenaria, 3526 nucleotides. RefSeq lists it as uncharacterized. The transcript has 2 exons. The record is from RefSeq and is a predicted model, not a curated record. Lineage: Eukaryota; Metazoa; Mollusca; Bivalvia; Venerida; Veneridae.